This 483-nucleotide ribosomal RNA is filed under the name uncultured bacterium. RNAcentral's name for it is "bacterial SSU rRNA". It matches the Rfam family "Bacterial small subunit ribosomal RNA", at positions 8 to 496 of the family's 1533-position model. The record is from RNAcentral.
AGAGUUUGAUCCUGGCUCAGGACGAACGCUGGCGGCGCGCCUAACACAUGCAAGUCGAACGGAGUUGUGUUGAAAGCUUGCUGGAUAUACAACUUAGUGGCGGACGGGUGAGUAACACGUGAGUAACCUGCCUUUCAGAGUGGAAUAACGUUUGGAAACGAACGCUAAUACCGCAUAACAUGAAGGAACGGCAUCGUUCUUUCAUCAAAGAUUUUAUCGCUGAGAGAUGGGCUCGCGGCCGAUUAGGUAGUUGGUGAGAUAACAGCCCACCAAGCCGACGAUCGGUAGCCGGACUGAGAGGUUGAACGGCCACAUUGGGACUGAGACACGGCCCAGACUCCUACGGGAGGCAGCAGUGGGGAAUAUUGCACAAUGGGGGAAACCCUGAUGCAGCAACGCCGCGUGCAGGAAGAAGGUUUUCGGAUUGUAAACUGCUUUAGACAGGGAAGAAAGAAAUGACAGUACCUGAGGAAUAAGCUCCGG